Molecule: long non-coding RNA, 1250 nt
Organism: Brienomyrus brachyistius
Lineage: Eukaryota; Metazoa; Chordata; Actinopteri; Osteoglossiformes; Mormyridae
Exons: 2
Source: RefSeq, a predicted model, not a curated record
UUUUCGUUCAAAGUGAACGAAGCAUAUAUACAUAGUAAAACUGACCUGCUUUUCAAUGCAUACAUACUGUAGGUGGAAACCAGACAUGAUUCGAAGCAGUUUAGAGACUUUAAUACACUGACACACUCCUUUUCUCCAGAUAAUCUGACUCCCCGUGACUGCAGGGACACAUGCUGUGUAUGUGAAUUGGUACGUUCAGAUUGUUUUGAUGUAUUACUACUUAAGUGAAUGUUCGUGUCUUGCAGUGGACUGGCGUCCCACCAUGGAAAUACUUUGUCUUACAUCUUGCAAUCCCUGGGGUUGAAAUUCUUAUCCGGAGUAACAGUUGUUUGCUUGUUUAUUCGUUUGAUUGUUUAUUUAACAAAGCAGGACAGAUGCGGUUUUAAGGGAACUGGAACAUGACGAAAAUCUGGUCACGUGUCUUGUGCCCUGUCAGGACAGCAGCCUCCUUUUACCCGUCGUACACAUCGGCAUUAAUAGUAAGGAACAGAGAACAACAGUGAUCUAUAUGGGGCUUAAAUGGCUUAGCGUUUCAUACACAGCACUGCGGACGUCUAUAUUUGUAUAUAUUACACAGCACCUUCUCCUGGUCUUCUGAGGGAAACGUCAGCCUUUUUGAAACAUCACCGCCUACUGCAUCCACCCCAGCAGCUCAGAUGAGAUAGCGAUUGAGACCUCUUUCCUGUUUCGUGAGCCCCCCCCAGAGGCGCCGCCCACCUGCCACGCCGCCUCGACCGCCGAGGAAGGCUCUUACUGUCCGUCGGUGACUGUCAAACUCAUGAGGAGGCCAGCUGGAGGGACGGAUGUGCCCGCGAGUGUAGGUGGCUGCAGUGAUCUCGCGCAGUGAGCCCCACUGAGAGCCCAGCGCACCCCGGCGAACGGCAGUGCCAUGAACUGGGCUUGGCAUUAAUCACUGAAAAUCUGUGUCACUUAAUUGUCAGAUUCCUGUUCUAAUUGCACAUAAUUUAUUUGCACACAAUUGACUGUUCUUUAUUUUUAGUUGCACAAUAUUCUGUUUUCACAAUAUUUAAUUUGCAUGCCAUUUACUUUUGCAAUAUAUAUUUUUUUCCUUGUAAUCUGAUUAAUGAGAGGAAUAACGGAGGUAGAUGAAGGUUUCUAAAAGUUCCAGACUUUUUGGCUUGAUAGGUGCUUUGAACAGGUUGUUUGUGAAUCGCAUCAGAAACCCUGCAUAGGAGAAGAGCCGGUAUUAACAUAUCAAAUAAUAAAAUGUCCUUUAGAUGGUUUGAUCA